Molecule: ribosomal RNA, 408 nt
Filed under: uncultured bacterium
Lineage: Bacteria
Description: partial 16S ribosomal RNA
Rfam family: Bacterial small subunit ribosomal RNA
Source: RNAcentral
GACGAACGCUGGCGGCGCGCCUAACACAUGCAAGUCGAGCGAAGCGGCGAACGGGUGAGUAACGCGUGAGGAACCUGCCUCUCACAACGGGAUAGCCUCGGGAAACCGGGAUUAAUACCGUAUGGUGAGAGAUGGCCUCGCGUCUGAUUAGUUAGUUGGUUGGGUAACGGCCUACCAAGACGACGAGCAGUAACCGGCCUGAGAGGGGGAACGGUAACAUUGGCACUGAGACACGGGCCAAACUCAUACGGGAGGCAGCAGUGGGGAAUCGGGCACAAUGGGGGGAACCCUGAGGCAGCGAGGCCGGGUGAGCGAUGAAGGUUGUCGAAUCGGAAAGCUCUGUCCUAUGGGAAGCGGUACCAGAGGAGGAAGCCCCGGCUAACUACGUGCCAGCAGCCGCGGUAAUUC